Molecule: ribosomal RNA, 523 nt
Filed under: uncultured bacterium
Lineage: Bacteria
Description: bacterial SSU rRNA
Rfam family: Bacterial small subunit ribosomal RNA
Source: RNAcentral
AGAGUUUGAUCAUGCCUCUAAUUGAACGCUGGCGGAAUGCUUUACACAUGCAAGUCGAACGGCAGCAUAGGUGCUUGCACCUGAUGGCGAGUGGCGAACGGGUGAGUAAUACAUCGGAACGUGCCCAGUCGUGGGGGAUAACGUAGCGAAAGUUACGCUAAUACCGCAUACGAUCUAUGGAUGAAAGCGGGGGACCGUAAGGCCUCGCGCGAUUGGAGCGGCCGAUGUUAGAUUAGGUAGUUGGUGGGGUAAAGGCUCACCAAGCCGACGAUCUAUAGCUGGUCUGAGAGGAUGAUCAGCCACACUGGGACUGAGACACGGCCCAGACUCCUACGGGAGGCAGCAGUGGGGAAUUUUGGACAAUGGGCGCAAGCCUGAUCCAGCCAUUCCGCGUGCAGGACGAAGGCCUUCGGGUUGUAAACUGCUUUUGUACAGAACGAAAAGCUCUGAGUUAAUACCUCGGGGUCAUGACGGUACUGUAAGAAUAAGCACCGGCUAACUACGUGCCAGCAGCCGCGGUAAU